GAUGAACGCUGGCGGCGUGCCUAAUACAUGCAAGUCGAGCGAACGGACGAGAAGCUUGCUUCUCUGAUGUUAGCGGCGGACGGGUGAGUAACACGUGGAUAACCUACCUAUAAGACUGGGAUAACUUCGGGAAACCGGAGCUAAUACCGGAUAAUAUUUUGAACCGCAUGGUUCAAAAGUGAAAGACGGUCUUGCUGUCACUUAUAGAUGGAUCCGCGCUGCAUUAGCUAGUUGGUAAGGUAACGGCUUACCAAGGCAACGAUGCAUAGCCGACCUGAGAGGGUGAUCGGCCACACUGGAACUGGAACCCGGUCCAGACUCCUACGGGAGCCAGCAGUAGGGAAUCUUCCGCAAUGGGCGAAAGCCUGACGGAGCAACGCCGCGUGAGUGAUGAAGGUCUUCGGAUCGUAAAACUCUGUUACUAGGGAAGAACAUAUGUGUAAGUAACUGUGCACAUCUUGACGGUACCUAAUCAGAAAGCCACGGCUAACUACGUG
This 497-nucleotide ribosomal RNA is filed under the name uncultured bacterium. RNAcentral describes it as "partial 16S ribosomal RNA". It matches the Rfam family "Bacterial small subunit ribosomal RNA", at positions 28 to 507 of the family's 1533-position model. The record is from RNAcentral.